AAGCUCCAAUUUGAAAUCUGGCUCUUUUAGAGUCCGAAUUGUAAUUUGUAGAAGAUGCUUCGGGUGUGGUUCCGGUCUAAGUUCCUUGGAACAGGACGUCAUAGAGGGUGAGAAUCCCGUAUGUGACUGGAUACCUAUGCUCAUGUGAAGCUCUUUCGACGAGUCGAGUUGUUUGGGAAUGCAGCUCAAAAUGGGAGGUAUAUUUCUUCUAAAGCUAAAUAUUGGCCAGAGACCGAUAGCGCACAAGUAGAGUGAUCGAAAGAUGAAAAGCACUUUGGAAAGAGAGUUAAACAGUACGUGAAAUUGUUGAAAGGGAAGCGCUUGCAAUCAGACUUGCACUUGGUGUUCAUCAGGGUCUCGUACCCUGUGUACUUCAUCAAGUUCAGGCCAGCAUCAGUUUGAGUGGUUAGAUAAAGGCUUAGAGAAUGUGGCCCUCUUCGGGGGGUGUUAUAGCUCUAGGUGCAAUGUAGCCUACUUG
Molecule: ribosomal RNA, 478 nt
Filed under: Botrytis prunorum
Lineage: Eukaryota; Fungi; Ascomycota; Leotiomycetes; Helotiales; Sclerotiniaceae
Description: eukaryotic LSU rRNA
Rfam family: Eukaryotic large subunit ribosomal RNA
Source: RNAcentral